Molecule: ribosomal RNA, 253 nt
Filed under: uncultured bacterium
Lineage: Bacteria
Description: partial 16S ribosomal RNA
Rfam family: Bacterial small subunit ribosomal RNA
Source: RNAcentral
UACAGAGGUCUCAAGCGUUGUUCGGAUUCAUUGGGCGUAAAGGGUGCGUAGGCGGCGCGGUAAGUCGGGUGUGAAAUCUCGGGGCUUAACUCCGAAACUGCAUUCGAUACUGCGGUGCUUGAGGACUGGAGAGGAGACUGGAAUUUACGGUGUAGCGGUGAAAUGCGUAGAUAUCGUAAGGAAGACCAGUGGCGAAGGCGGGUCUCUGGACAGUUCCUGACGCUGAGGCACGAAGGUCAGGGGAGCAAACGGG